RNAcentral lists this ribosomal RNA (333 nucleotides) under uncultured eukaryote. RNAcentral describes it as "partial 18S ribosomal RNA". It matches the Rfam family "Eukaryotic small subunit ribosomal RNA", at positions 1470 to 1796 of the family's 1831-position model. The record is from RNAcentral.
CCCUUAGAUGUUCUGGGCAGCACGCGCGCUACAAUGGUCUUCGCAAACGGAUGCAUUCUCGAAGGAGAAUGCCAAUCUUGGAAUCUAUGCCUUGGUCGGGACAGUUGCUUGCAAUUUUUCGACUCGAACCAGGAAUUCCUUGUAAUCGUGAUUCAUCACAUCACGAUGAAUACGUCCCUGCCCUUUGUACACACCGCCCGUCGCUCCUACCGAUUGGAUGGUUUAGUGAGACCCUCGGAUCGGUCCCGACUCGGGGUGGGCUUCUGCCCCGGUCGUGGUUUCGCCGAGAAGACGGUCAAACUUGACUAUCUAGAGGAAGUAAAAGUCGUAACA